Molecule: long non-coding RNA, 5145 nt
Organism: Micropterus salmoides (largemouth bass)
Lineage: Eukaryota; Metazoa; Chordata; Actinopteri; Centrarchiformes; Centrarchidae
Exons: 3
Source: RefSeq, a predicted model, not a curated record
UGUGUGUGUGUGUGUAAUUUUAGUGAAUGAAAUUACGUCACUGUUACGUAUGUUCUUGUCUAUCACUGACUGAGACUUUCGUUCUUGGCAGAGACAGGUGCAUAUAUGACAAACUCUCCAUGGGUGUGUUUUUUUAAGGACAACUUUUACCAUGCAUGACAGACAUGAAAAUAUUUGGCUGACAUUGAAGAACAACAGCUUGCCAAAUAAUUAAUUCAAAAAAAAUAAAAUUGGGGGAUUUUUCUUUGUAUGUUAUGUAAUAUAUAUAUAACUUUCAGGAAGACAAUUACUUAUUCACUUCACUCAGCCGGGUGGAAAAUCUGCUGUUGUUGCGUUUUACUGCACUGUGGAAUUUGAAAACUUUGCUCAACAACUGCAGGGAAACAUACUGUCACUACUCCUCUUUCUGUCCCAAUCUUUCUCAUAGUCUCUCUGGCCAUAUUUAUAGAAAGACAAUCAGCUUAUUCUCAUUGGGUGUUUUGCGUCCAUUAGCUGAAACACAUAUAUAACUAUAAUUAAAUUGUUUAUUAUGUUUCUUUGAGGAGGAUGGAACUCCAUGUGUAGCUCAUUCAGAUUUUUCGCAUUAACCCAUGUCAACACAUGUAACACGGCAGUUAAAAGCGGCUGUGGCGGCGGAAAACAGACUGGAAGUCGUCGCAAAGUAAAUGCGGUGGCAUACACAAUACGAGUGUCGGCUAAGUGUUAUUUGCACGGUACAAAAUAUUUUAAUAAAAAUACCAAAUUAAAAACUCAAGCAUUGUGUUUCUACUAAGAUCCAAUCAGAGAGACUCUGAGUUUUAAGACAAAAAACGGGGUCGGCAACUUCUCCGUUUUAGGUCUCCAUUUUCGCCGUUUUAGUCUGGACGGGAGAUGCAAAAGUAGCAAAAGGUCUCCGUUUUAAAACAAAAACGCAGUAGCGUGGAUGGGGCCUGUGUCUCUGUCUCUCUGACCCCUUCUUUUUUUUUUUUCCCGUAGUUUGAAUUCUUUGACUUUAUCUCUCCAGCUCUUUUUUAUCUCUGUGUGUGUCACUAGCAACUCUGGUCAGCCAUUAAACUUACCCUCAAGCCAACUGCAGCAGAAUUCCCAGGCUGCUCGGCUGCCUGAGUUCACACCUUUUUGUCCACAGGAAUCUCAGGAAUCCCCAGCUUCCUUUCCACUGCAAUCUCCAUUGUGUGUGUGUGUGUGUGUGUGUGUGUUAGUACAUGAAGGAAAGGCCCCCGCCUGUGCCGUGUAUGUGUGUUAAAACACAUCUCCGCCCUUGUAUCCACCCAGAGAAAGUAAGCAGGCGGUGCUCAGUUUGUGCCCACAAUAGACUGAGUCACAUUCUAAAAUGGCAAACCUCUCAGUUACUGUGAAACUUUACUCUUUAAGACACACAUGACAUUGUUGUUUUUAAAUUUAAUAAACGAAAUUGUCAUUAUUUACACAUUAAUUAAUCACAAAUCACAUUAAAUCAUACAGAAAGAUUUUUUUGUUAUUGUGUUACUGAUAAUACAUUACACAUUAUUGGUUAUUGCAUAAUUUUCUAAAUUCUACCCAAAACAGUUAAAAAAUAGGUACACUGUCAAUUUAGUUUUUCCUGUUGGGUUGAAAUUGUUUUCUGGUUAAAUUAUUGCAGAUUAAAAAUUAGUUAAAAUUUAUACUACUGCACUAUUUUCUUUUUAACAUAAAAAAAAUGUAUUUCCCAAUGACUCAUUGUCCCUGGCGUGCAGAGCAGCUGAAUAACAAGAUCAAGAAUAAUCUGUCAGAUUGCUGCUUUUGGCAGAGAGCAGCCAAAUGAAAUGGUUGUACUAAAAUAGCUCCACACAAGAAUAUCAUUUGUUUUCAGAAUAAUCUGAAAGACAAUUAACAGAGAGAGCUUUGCUCUUGUGAGAGGCGAUAGUGUUCCCAAUCAGACAAGAGGACGGUGCUCUGUUAUGAUUCCUCUUGGUCACUCCUGCAGGUUAAUGCUGCCGUUUGUCGACAGGUCUGGAGUCAUUUACCUGCUCCAAUCCUGAGUCAUCUCCCCGCCUGCUGCCAGGGCUCAGCAGCACCCAUUCAACACCACGAGAAACACACAGAAAUCCAUCCCUUGUCCGACACACGACAGGCUGUGAUUUACCCACACCCACCCAGUCUCUAUCCACACAUAUACAACCAUACAAUAUAGGUUGAUCUCUCUGAUGUUGAAGCUGCUGCCCAUGAGCUGGAUGAACAAUAUUUCAUAGUAACCUCUGACCUAUUAGAUUGUUCUUAGAGGCGACAAUGCAGUAGGCUAUAUAGAUCAAAUAUUACUUAACCCAACCCAUUACAUGACUCACUAAAUAGUGAAUGGACCCUGACAAAGGCAUUUGUGUGUGUGUGUGUGUGUGUGUUUGCACACAUCAACAUGUGUAACAGGAGUGUAGCAUGGGUGCAGCAUGGGCUUUGAUGAGUCACAUGGCCUCCUGUGAGUAACAAACCAGCUAUGCAGUCCCUGAAGUUUGAGACUCCCAUUCAAAACCCCAGCCCACCCUCGCCCCAAACACCAUAAGGGAGGAGGAGGGGAAGGGGCGGGGCAGGGUGGGGUAGGACGGGACUGUUAAUAGGUGUGGUUGGCAGGGAUGGCGUGGCAGAGAAUAGACGUGGGGUAAAAUAGCAGGAUGUAGGUGAGAACCAGGAAGAUGGGAGGCGGAGAACAGGGUGGUGAACCAAGGACAAGGGCAGUUUCAGGUCAGGCUUAGAAGUAAGGACGACCAAGUUAGGGGUCAAUAGAUGCUAAUGACCUAUCCUACAUGUCACUUUCAUUAUGUCUCACACUAUCCUCACUUCUGUCCUAAAACAGUCAUCAUCCGCUGUCUGGUGUUUUGUUGGUACACUCAGGUACUUUUUUUUUAGUAGCUGUGGUCACCAGGGGGUUACUCACUUGUUUAUUGGCUUGUCCAUUCUUGUAAACACUGGUACUUUCUCUUUGUGGUCACAAUCAGCAGCCUAUCUGUCUGUCUCAUCACAAAACACCACCAGAAAAUUUUUGUCACACAUGUACAUGUGCAUUAUUUAAAUUCAUUUCUUAAGUGUCGCAAGAAUCUGUGGAGCAGCUGAGACAAGAUGCACAUAUAGAAUUUGUUUAUGUGGGUGUAUGUGUGUAUGGGUGGAGAGUGAGGGGCUGCCAGUGUGGCUGGAAGUCAUAAAGACCCUUCUACUGUGGCCGCUGUGUGUGUGUUUUGAGUGUGUGUGUGUGUGGGGGGGGGGUCCCUGCCUCCUUUCCCUUAUUUAGAGGGUCCUUUUCUACAGACGCCCAAACUCUCUGGCAGGGGAGUUUCCUGCUUUUGAAGACCGGGUGCACACGCACACUUAACACACACAUACAGAGAGAGAGAGAGAGAGAGACAGAGAGUGAGAGCGAUGGAGAGGCUGCCCUUACUUUUUUCCUCCUCCCUCUCCCCCUCCUUCUUCCCCUCCUCUCUUUUUUCUGAAUGGAUGUCCUCUCUCUAACCUCAAUUGAGAGCUGUGUAACAGGACACUGCCCUCUGCUGCAAUAGGCUCAGCCCCCUCUUUAACAGCCACACUAUAAGAGAGUGCAGCGUAGGUCCUGAGUGUGGGUGAGAGAGUAUGUCCGACAGUGUCAGUCAGGGGCUGGGGGAAAGAAGGGAGGGUGAAGGGUGAGAGAAAAAGAGAGAGAAGAGAGGGAGACUGCUGUGAAACAUGUGAUAGCGCAACUUUGGCAGGGCUUAUAGGGAGUUUAACGGCUGUAGUGUCUCCAGAGCUCUGGGAAAGCACCUUUAGCCCAGAGGGAGCCUCACACGCUGUCUGUGUGUGUGUUGUGAGAAAGUGUGUGUGUGUGUGUGUGUAUGUGGGAGAGCCGGCUAUGUAGUAGUGCUGCUGUCACUUUAAGCCUGUUACUGAUUACACUCAGAAGAAUGCAACGGGAGGAGGAAAAAAAGACAGGGAAAGAGAUGAGGAGACAUGUAAGGAUGAAAUCUUUUAGGAGUUGAGCUCCGGCAAGUUUUGUGUGACUUGCCCUCACAACCGUGGACAGUGACGUGGGUGAGACAUUGUUACCCAAUAGCGUCUCUCUCUCUCUGUCUCUCUCUCUUUCACUCUCUGUUGGACCCAGCAAAGUUAAAGAGAAGGGGAACCAGGAAUCCCUCUUUGAAGCAGGGGACAGAGCAAAGGGCACCCAGAAAUGGAGGAAAAACUUAAAGAAAGACACCAGAGAAAAAGAAUCUGAAGAGAGAGAGGGGGGGAGGUUCCCUCAUUCCAAACUCAGCGCCGGGAGGAAACACUGCUCUCACCCAGACGGGUUUGCCGAUUCUGGACAGAUUUUUUUAUACCAGAAACACCACUGAACAACCAUGUGUUCCUGAAGCCCUUCCAAUCAGAGAUGGACUCAGCUGUGUCUGCAGAAGUGCAUCGUCUUCCCGCCUAGGCACGACCAAACUGGCCAGCCUUCACGGUUCACUGCUCUGUGGCUGCUGUCAGUUGCUCAGUAGGCAGUGUAGAUCCUGUGUAGCAAUCAGCAGCUACAUCUGGCUACUGGGUCUCUGACGGCUCUGCCUACUUCCCGGUCGAGCCCAUUCCACUCCAAUUGGCUGGUGACACAUUCCAGUCCUCUUAUUGGCUGCGAUGUCAGGGGGGCUCCAUCCUGUGACCCCACAGACAGGAUGUUCUCUGUGUCACAACUCCACAAGGGGCCCUUGUCAAGGCUUUUUGUGUGUUUUUUUCACUCCUUCCUCUUCCGCCAUUCUUCUUUUAAUUCGCCCUGUUUCUGCCUCUCUCUCUCUCUCUCUCUCUCUCUCCCUCUCUCUCUCUCUCCUUCAUGCUCUGUGAGGUCCUCUUUGUUUUAAAUGUCCUUGGUAAGAGCUAAUAAUGUUAAACUACAGAUGUUCCAUGACAGAAAUUUCAAGAAGUGAUGUUUCCGAUGUGUUUCUGGAUGCCUGCUUGAAAAGACUUUGAGAUGAAGAGAUGUACCUUUGCUUUGUCCUGAACCUGGCAUACAAUGUAGAUUUCUGUGUGGUUCAAUUCUACAGCUACAUUGUCUGCUGGGUUUCUGGCUAGCAAUAUAAGCAGCUGUUAUAUAACACAAAGGGUGCUCAAAAACAGUAAGUAUUCAUCUAUUCUGUCAAUGUAUCUGAAAUGCCUGACCCUGAAAAUUCAAUAAAAAGAAAAUAUUUUACAGUAAUACAA